This is a non-coding RNA of Pelobates cultripes (western spadefoot toad), 214 nucleotides long. The record is from the annotation of a GenBank genome assembly. Lineage: Eukaryota; Metazoa; Chordata; Amphibia; Anura; Pelobatidae.
CCUGCCUCUAGCUCUGGCUCUGGCUAUGCCUCUGGCUCUCCCUCUGGUUCUGCCUCUGCCUCUGGUUCUGCCUCUGGCCCUAGCUCUGGCUCUGCUUCUAGCUCUGCCUCUGACUGUAGCCCUGCCUCUGACUUUGGCCCUGGCUCUGCGUCUGACCCUGCCUCUAGCACUAGCCAUGCCUCUAGACCUGCCUCUGGCCCAGCCUCUACCUCUG